Molecule: long non-coding RNA, 2213 nt
Filed under: Oryza sativa (Asian cultivated rice)
Lineage: Eukaryota; Viridiplantae; Streptophyta; Magnoliopsida; Poales; Poaceae
Description: long non-coding RNA (OSAT_LNC001022)
Source: RNAcentral
UAAAAGCUUCUUAGCAACUCAACAAAAAGGGUAUGAAUUAAUUGCCUUCUCUAGUUUCUUUUGUCUAAAUAUAAUAGAUAAGGCUGGCUGUGAACAUCAUACUCAAACCUAUUCUCUGCAGGUGCAAUUGGUAUAUAUUCAGUUUAUUAUCUCCAGUGCAAAGUUCUAUUUUAACAUAAUUACUAACAUUUAUCAGAUACAGAAGUAAUACACUCGAAAUGUAAAAACUAUGGUAAACAACUGUAGCGAUAGAGUACAGUUAAGAUUGAGUGAUUUCCACCAAACAGAAAACAACAGAAAAGAAUAAAAGAAAUAACGGGACAAAGAAUUUCAGUACUAACAAUGUAACUAAAAGGAACCAGGAAGGAGAGCAUGUAUAUCUCUUUUAUGAUAGAAGAAUUUUGGAGCAUGACAUAUGUAAACAGUUUUUUGUCCACAAGAAAUGAAAUUCAGAUUGUCAUGGUCAACACUUAUAUCUUCAUAUUACAAACUAAAAAUUUGAAGCAGUUUCAUCGGUUCUGAUAGGAAGAAGUUUGACGAGCAUGCAAAAAUGAAUGCAUAAUAACAGUUCAUUUGGUCAGUUGUGUUAUGCAGAACAGUUAAUAUCAUUGCCUUUUAGGUGGAAACAUCUACACCCCCCGUCCCCCCCAAAAGAAAACCCUCUUCUGGGCCUAUGUCCAUAUUCAAACCCAUGGAGUGGGUGUUUUUUGGGACAGAGGGAGUAUAAAUUAAAAAUGCUAUAUUACAAUCACCAUUUGAUGAGAAAACUAUAGUCAAAUGGUAUGCGUUACUCAUCUGUUCGCCUUUAUGUUGGACCAUUUUGGUUUGGUGCCAAUUCUUGCCCUACCAAUUCUUUGGUAGUUUUGAAUAGUGCAUGUUAGCAUUUUGGAUUGGAGCCAAAUUUUGCCAAAUCAAUAGAGUGGAGCCAAAUCUAUACUAUAAAAAAAAUUUUGCCGGGUCGGCCAAAGGUUGGCCGACCAAUUUCAUUAAGAUUGGGGAGAAAAACAAAGGAAUGUUACAGCGACAUUACAAUGUCGCGCUAGUCCGGGAGAGAUCCCAGACACAGCGUGAACAAACGAAGGAGAAAGAGACAAUACAACAACGAUUACUCGCUGAAUUGGGAGAAGAUCCCAGCUACCCUCCACACCACGAUUUCUUCUUUUAUAUUCUCGGCUACUUACUAUAAAAAAUUUGGUAGUGCCAAAAUAUGCCCAAGGUUUGGUACUACCAAUAUUUUGGUAGGGUUUCAAACCAAACAAGCCCGUUAUUUUCAGAACUGCCAUCUAGAUUCCUCAUGCAUGGCAAUGUCAGCGUUUCAAGAGAAUCUCAUAUUCUACCUGCAUCAGGAUGUGCUAUGUUAAUGUGACAGAGAAGGACGACCAGACAAUCAAUCAAUACUUCAAAGAAUCAAGUCAAGUUUGAAUUGAUUCUUUCUCUUUAGAUGGUCUGGGACACUGAGUCUUUUGUUACAGAUUUCCCAAAAUUGAACUGAAGAAAUCAAUGAAGACUGAAUUCUUGCUUCUAUUUAUGUCUAUCAAGCCAUAUUCGAAGGUCCAAAAUUGACCAGUUACCACUCCAGAAGAAUGUAUAAUAAUCUUCUUAUCAAAGUUUGGUUAUCACCUAAUAUAGUUCAACUAGGCAUAUGCUUAUCCAUUCAAAAGGGAAAGAAAACUAAGCAUGGUCCAAUGUUCACCUUUACGUUUCCUUUUCCUGACCAACUGUAUUACACAGCCUAUCCCAUAAUAUUUCUCUAGGUCUGUUAUGAUUGGGGCAUUUCAAAAUUAAGUAAUUUUCCAAAAUAAAACUAUGAACAUCAGUACAACGAUACCAUAUAUGUAUAGCACAAUAUACGGUGAUCAAAUCUCAGAGGCGCUUUCUCUGACCUAAUUAGAAAAACCCGACUAGUAAAAAUCCACGAACUUACAGCCAAAAAAAACGAAGGACGCGUUGUAGAUUCGCUCCACACACACACUCGCUAUAUCUCUCCUCCCCCUUCCACGUCUCCGGUUCGCGGAGAUACGAACCGGCGGUAGCCCCGCGCCGCGGCGGCGGCGCCGCCGCCGCCGAAGCCGCCGCAAGCCGAGAAUUUCCCCCGGAGAAGUAGAAUGAUGAGGCCCAAAUUUAGAUUGAUACUGUAGAUUCGAUCUCUAUCGGGCCUGGAUGCACGGCCCACCAAAUCUACCAUAUGGGCUGGGUAUGGGCCUUGAACGAAU